GACGAACGCUGGCGGCGUGCUUAACACAUGCAAGUCGAACGGAAAGGCCCUGCUUUUGUGGGGUGCUCGAGUGGCGAACGGGUGAGUAACACGUGAGUAACCUGCCCUUGACUUUGGGAUAACUUCAGGAAACUGGGGCUAAUACCGGAUAGGAGCUCCUGCUGCAUGGUGGGGGUUGGAAAGUUUCGGCGGUCGGGGAUGGACCCGCGGCUUAUCAGCUUGUUGGUGGGGUAGUGGCUUACCAAGGCUUUGACGGGUAGCCGGCCUGAGAGGGUGACCGGCCACAUUGGGACUGAGAUACGGCCCAGACUCCUACGGGAGGCAGCAGUGGGGAAUAUUGCACAAUGGGCGGAAGCCUGAUGCAGCAACGCCGCGUGCGGGAUGACGGCCUUCGGGUUGUAAACCGCUUUCGCCUGUGACGAAGCGUGAGUGACGGUAAUGGGUAAAGAAGCACCGGCUAACUACGUG
RNAcentral lists this ribosomal RNA (468 nucleotides) under uncultured bacterium. RNAcentral describes it as "partial 16S ribosomal RNA". It matches the Rfam family "Bacterial small subunit ribosomal RNA", at positions 28 to 507 of the family's 1533-position model. The record is from RNAcentral.